AUAGCCAAAUAAAUAAAGAAAUUAUUUAAUAUCUGGUCAAGAGUGGAAAGGUGCUGCUGAACUCACUGCUUACAAAGCUGCUCAGGACAUUGCUAACUCUGAAUUGGCUCCUACUCAUCCGAUUCGUCUUGGUCUCCUCUCCGCUCCGAUAGCCAAGUCCGAUCUGCUUCAUAAUGAGAGCUUAUAGUCUUUGAUUAUAUCUGAAUCGAGUUCAUACCACAAUUCUUUAGCCAUUAAAAUCACUAAAUUCAUCGUUGAAUCGACUUGAUGAAAAACGCUGGGUAAAAGAGGGUGGAUGUUCAAAAGGCGGUCCAACACAUGAUCUGUAGGACAAAUCCGCAAAUCUUUAAUUUUUUUUUUUUGUUGAAAAAACGCAAAUUUGUUUAAAACUUGUUGA
Molecule: non-coding RNA, 397 nt
Organism: Camelina sativa (false flax)
Lineage: Eukaryota; Viridiplantae; Streptophyta; Magnoliopsida; Brassicales; Brassicaceae
Source: RefSeq, a predicted model, not a curated record